Molecule: ribosomal RNA, 301 nt
Filed under: uncultured bacterium
Lineage: Bacteria
Description: partial 16S ribosomal RNA
Rfam family: Bacterial small subunit ribosomal RNA
Source: RNAcentral
CAGUCGCGCGGUAAUACGUAGGUGGCAAGCGUUGUCAGGAUUUAUUGGGCGUAAAGCGAGCGCAGGCGGUUCCUUAAGUCUGAUGUGAAAGCCCCCGGCUCAACCGGGGAGGGUCAUUGGAAACUGGGGAACUUGAGUGCAGAAGAGGAGAGUGGAAUUCCAUGUGUAGCGGUGAAAUGCGUAGAUAUAUGGAGGAACACCAGUGGCGAAGGCGACUCUCUGGUCUGUAACUGACGCUGAGGCUCGAAAGCGUGGGUAGCAAACAGGAUUAGAUACCCCUGUAGUCCCUGUCUCUUAUACA